UCUGGUCCAGUGAUGUAAAAUUUUCGGAUGUAAAUCAUUUAUACCACCGAGAGCGCAAAACCAUGUGGAUAUUUUCCGUUGCCUUCCUUCUGAGUACCUCAU
Ascochyta rabiei is the source of this 102-nucleotide small nucleolar RNA. It matches the Rfam family "Small nucleolar RNA Z13/snr52". Rfam says of the family: Z13 or snr52 is a member of the C/D class of snoRNA which contain the C (UGAUGA) and D (CUGA) box motifs. Most of the members of the box C/D family function in directing site-specific 2'-O-methylation of substrate RNAs. NCBI's taxonomy places the organism in Eukaryota, Fungi, Ascomycota, Dothideomycetes, Pleosporales, Didymellaceae. The record is from Rfam.